Molecule: long non-coding RNA, 467 nt
Filed under: Homo sapiens (human)
Lineage: Eukaryota; Metazoa; Chordata; Mammalia; Primates; Hominidae
Description: novel transcript, antisense to FSCB
Source: RNAcentral
AUUAGGCAAAUUGAUAGCCCUACAAUGGCCUCUAAGUGUUCACGUGAAAAGAAGAAUCACAGACCUCUCAUUUGAAAUUCAUGUUGUUUUCAUGCCUGCUAACACAACAUCCAUUCUGCAGCGCAUGGAUCAAGGGUUAAUUUUGAUUUUCAAUGUUAUUAUUUAAAUAUAUUUCAUAAUGCUAUGGCUGCCAUAGAUAGUGAUUCCAUUAAUGGAUCUGAAAUUGAAGGAAAAGUAAAGAUGUUUCUGGAAGGCACCAGGAGUCCUGUCUGCACUGAGCACCAUGAAGUUCACCUGCAUUGAGUUCUUUCCCUUUGUACAACACUUACUCCCAGACCAAAAAAUAACUCCUUCUCUCCAAUCUGUGUUCCAGGCAAACCAAUAGACUCCAGUUGUCUCCCGAAAUGCUUAAAGUGCUUUUCCAAUAUCCACUAUGUUUGGGCAACAUAUUAAAAAUAUACAACAAA